UACGUAGGCAGCGAGCGUUGUUCGGAGUUACUGGGCGUAAAGGGUGUGUAGGCGGUUGUUUAAGUUUGGUGUGAAAUCUCCCGGCUCAACUGGGAGGGUGCGCCGAAUACUGAAUGACUCGAGUGUGGGAGAGGUGAGUGGAAUUCCUGGUGUAGCGGUGAAAUGCGCAGAUAUCGGGAGGAACACCAGUAGCGAAGGCGGCACUCUGGGCCGGUACUGACGCUGAGGAGCGAAAGCGUGGGGAGCGAACAGG
RNAcentral lists this ribosomal RNA (253 nucleotides) under uncultured bacterium. RNAcentral's name for it is "partial 16S ribosomal RNA". It matches the Rfam family "Bacterial small subunit ribosomal RNA", at positions 524 to 776 of the family's 1533-position model. The record is from RNAcentral.